GAUGAACGCUAGCGACAGGCUUAACACAUGCAAGUCGAGGGGCAGCGAGGGCGUAGCAAUACGCCUGUCGGCGACCGGCGCACUGGUGAGUAACACGUAUGCGACCUGCCCCCUACAGGGGUAUAACCCGUAGAAAUGCGGACUAAUCCCCCAUAGUCCCGCGGGCUGCAUGGCCUGCGGGGGAAAGGCCAGCCGGUAGGGGAUGGGCAUGCGGCGCAUUAGCUAGUUGGCGGGGCAACGGCCCACCAAGGCGACGAUGCGUAGGGGUUCUGAGAGGAAGGUCCCCCACACUGGUACUGAGACACGGACCAGACUCCUACGGGAGGCAGCAGUGAGGAAUAUUGGUCAAUGGGCGCAGGCCUGAACCAGCCAAGUCGCGUGAGGGAGGACGGUCCUACGGAUUGUAAACCUCUUUUGUCGGGGAGUAACGUGCGGGACGGGUCCCGUAUUGAGAGUACCCGAAGAAAAAAGCAUCGGCUAAACUCCGUG
This 489-nucleotide ribosomal RNA is filed under the name uncultured bacterium. Its description in RNAcentral is "bacterial SSU rRNA". It matches the Rfam family "Bacterial small subunit ribosomal RNA", at positions 28 to 507 of the family's 1533-position model. The record is from RNAcentral.